This 1027-nucleotide ribosomal RNA is filed under the name Bacillus siamensis. RNAcentral's name for it is "bacterial SSU rRNA". It matches the Rfam family "Bacterial small subunit ribosomal RNA", at positions 55 to 1065 of the family's 1533-position model. Lineage: Bacteria; Bacillati; Bacillota; Bacilli; Caryophanales; Bacillaceae. The record is from RNAcentral.
AUGCAGUCGAGCGGACAGAUGGGAGCUUGCUCCCUGAUGUUAGCGGCGGACGGGUGAGUAACACGUGGGUAACCUGCCUGUAAGACUGGGAUAACUCCGGGAAACCGGGGCUAAUACCGGAUGGUUGUUUGAACCGCAUGGUUCAGACAUAAAAGGUGGCUUCGGCUACCACUUACAGAUGGACCCGCGGCGCAUUAGCUAGUUGGUGAGGUAACGGCUCACCAAGGCGACGAUGCGUAGCCGACCUGAGAGGGUGAUCGGCCACACUGGGACUGAGACACGGCCCAGACUCCUACGGGAGGCAGCAGUAGGGAAUCUUCCGCAAUGGACGAAAGUCUGACGGAGCAACGCCGCGUGAGUGAUGAAGGUUUUCGGAUCGUAAAGCUCUGUUGUUAGGGAAGAACAAGUGCCGUUCAAAUAGGGCGGCACCUUGACGGUACCUAACCAGAAAGCCACGGCUAACUACGUGCCAGCAGCCGCGGUAAUACGUAGGUGGCAAGCGUUGUCCGGAAUUAUUGGGCGUAAAGGGCUCGCAGGCGGUUUCUUAAGUCUGAUGUGAAAGCCCCCGGCUCAACCGGGGAGGGUCAUUGGAAACUGGGGAACUUGAGUGCAGAAGAGGAGAGUGGAAUUCCACGUGUAGCGGUGAAAUGCGUAGAGAUGUGGAGGAACACCAGUGGCGAAGGCGACUCUCUGGUCUGUAACUGACGCUGAGGAGCGAAAGCGUGGGGAGCGAACAGGAUUAGAUACCCUGGUAGUCCACGCCGUAAACGAUGAGUGCUAAGUGUUAGGGGGUUUCCGCCCCUUAGUGCUGCAGCUAACGCAUUAAGCACUCCGCCUGGGGAGUACGGUCGCAAGACUGAAACUCAAAGGAAUUGACGGGGGCCCGCACAAGCGGUGGAGCAUGUGGUUUAAUUCGAAGCAACGCGAAGAACCUUACCAGGUCUUGACAUCCUCUGACAAUCCUAGAGAUAGGACGUCCCCUUCGGGGGCAGAGUGACAGGUGGUGCAUGGUGUCGUCAGCUCGUGU